Molecule: long non-coding RNA, 497 nt
Organism: Pezoporus flaviventris
Lineage: Eukaryota; Metazoa; Chordata; Aves; Psittaciformes; Psittacidae
Exons: 2
Source: RefSeq, a predicted model, not a curated record
CUUCCACAGCAGCAGGAGCUCUCCAUUGCAUCCUUCCUCGGGCCCAGUAGCAAGGCUGAGUUAUAGUUUUCCCUUUUCAGAUCCGAAACAGCUCUUCCUGUGAACAUCAGGCACUGCUAAUUGUAGAAGUGUCAUUUUUAGUUGCAGAUGGUCACACAGAAGCUGAAGACCCAGCUGACCUACAAACAAUGUUGGAAGUAAGCUGAUUUGAUUCUGGUGGGAGACAGGAGCAGGAACGACUGGGGUAGUGUCUGAGCUAGCAGGAUUUCCAUAGGGGGUAUUUAUUUCAAUAGAUGGAUGUGUCCAGUGUCAAAACACUGCUGUCAAAGUGGCCAGCACAAGGCUGCACCAGGUCAGCUCAGGCUCACUACUGACAAUGGCAGGUGCCUUACUUCAGGAGCUGCUCAGGUACAGUCUAAAAUCCACAGGAUACGAAAUAACAGUAGACUUGAAAUGAAAACUCCACCACAUAGCUCAGAUAAGAUUCUGAUGACUUC